RNAcentral lists this transfer RNA (72 nucleotides) under Candidatus Methanophagales archaeon. Its description in RNAcentral is "tRNA-Arg". It matches the Rfam family "tRNA". From Rfam's summary of the family: Transfer RNA (tRNA) molecules are approximately 80 nucleotides in length. Their secondary structure includes four short double-helical elements and three loops (D, anti-codon, and T loops). The record is from RNAcentral. Lineage: Archaea; Methanobacteriati; Methanobacteriota; Methanomicrobia; Candidatus Methanophagales. RNAcentral also lists the same sequence under 2 other names.
GCCCCAGUGUGGUAGUGGAGAUCCCUUGGGCCUGCGGAGCCCAAGAUCCGGGUUCGAUUCCCGGCUGGGGCA